CUUGGGGAUAAAAGAAUAGGGAUCAAGACUAGUGUUCUGGAGGAAAAAGCUACAGCAUGUAACAUGCUUUGCUGCUAUGCUGAUGAAUUGAAGGAAGGAUUUUUCCCGUGGAUUGAUCAGGUAGCUACUACAUUGGUUCCUCUCCUUAAGUUUUAUUUCCAUGAAGAAGUUAGGAAGGCUGCAGUUUCAGCUAUGCCUGAACUAUUACGUUCAGCUAAGCUAGCUAUAGAAAAGGGUCAAUCUCAUGGACGGAAUGAGUUGUAUUUGAAACAAUUGUCCGAUUACAUUCUUCCUGCUUUGGUGGAGGCUUUACACAAGGAGCCAGAGGUG
RNAcentral lists this unclassified non-coding RNA (330 nucleotides) under Hevea brasiliensis (rubber tree). Lineage: Eukaryota; Viridiplantae; Streptophyta; Magnoliopsida; Malpighiales; Euphorbiaceae. The record is from RNAcentral.